RNAcentral lists this ribosomal RNA (1031 nucleotides) under uncultured bacterium. RNAcentral's name for it is "bacterial SSU rRNA". It matches the Rfam family "Bacterial small subunit ribosomal RNA", at positions 439 to 1499 of the family's 1533-position model. The record is from RNAcentral.
UUGGGGAAGAAGAAAGUGACGGUACCCAAGGAGAAAGCCCCGGCUAAAUACGUGCCAGCAGCCGCGGUAAUACGUAUGGGGCAAGCGUUAUCCGGAAUUAUUGGGCGUAAAGAGUGCGUAGGUGGUUACCUAAGCGCAAGGUUUAAUCUUGAGGCUCAACCUCAUUCUGCCUUGCGAACUGGGCUACUUGAGUGCUGGAGGGGAAAGCGGAAUUCCCAGUGUAGCGGUGAAAUGCGUAGAUAUUGGGAAGAACACCGGUGGCGAARGCGGCUUUCUGGACAGUAACUGACACUGAGGCACGAAAGCGUGGGGAGCAAACAGGAUUAGAUACCCUGGUAGUCCACGCCGUAAACGAUGAGCACUAGUUGUUGGGUCCGAAUGGAUUCAGUGACGCAGUUAACGCAAUAAGUGCUCCGCCUGGGGAGUACGGUGGCAACACUAAAACUCAAAGGAAUUGACGGGGACCCGCACAAGCAGCGGAGCAUGUGGUUUAAUUCGAAGCAACGCGAAAAACCUUACCAGGGCUUGACAUCCCUCUGAAAGCUUCCUUAACCGGAAGCCCCCUUCGGGCAGAGGUGACAGGUGGUGCAUGGUUGUCGUCAGCUCGUGUCGUGAGAUGUUGGGUUAAGUCCCGCAACGAGCGCAACCCUUGUCGUCAGUUACUAACAUUUAGUUGAGGACUCUGGCGAGACUGCCGAGGUCAACUCGGAGGAAGGUGGGGAUGACGUCAAAUCAUCAUGCCCCUUAUGUUCUGGGCUACACACGUGCUACAAUGGUCGGUACAAUGAGAAGCAAGAUGGCGACAUGGAGCAAAUCACCAAAACCGAUCCCAGUUCGGAUUGCAGGCUGCAACUCGCCUGCAUGAAGUCGGAGUUGCUAGUAAUCGCGAAUCAGCAUGUCGCGGUGAAUGCGUUCCCGGGUCUUGUACACACCGCCCGUCACACCAUGGAAGUUGGGGGCGCCCAAAGUUGGCUAAUUAAUCUGCUACCUAAGGCGAAACCAAUGACUGGGGUGAAGUCGUAACAAGGUAA